CCAUACUAAGUAUGAGGGUGUGCAGCAAUAGGGGCUAUAGGUGGGAGGGUAAAUUGCCUUAAUAAGUUUGGAAAAUGUUUGACAAUGUCUUAAAGUUCAACGUAUAUAUAACCCUCAACUUAGCAAUUCCACCUCUAACCAAAUAUCAAACAGUGAUGUGUACACAUAUUUAUCAAAAGACAUACAGAAUAUUCUUAGAGUUAUUCAUAAUACUUUCAUAUUGAAAACAGCUCCAAUUUCCAUGAUCAGAACAGUUACUUGGAAAGGGCUGCUCCCUGUAGCAAGGAAGUGAGCUUUUUCUUCAUGUAAUAGUUUGAAGGAACCUUACACGCAUCCUGAACAAAAGGAACAAGGCAACAAAAAAAGAAAAUGUGCUACUUGACUUCCUCUUAAGUAAGAAAUCAAAAACACCUCUGGGAAGAAUGAAAUAGGGAAAUACAUUCACAAGGAGGGCGAUGUUAUGAUGUGCUAGUAAUGUUCUUUCUUGACCAGAAUGGUGAUGAUCUUGUAAUAUUUUUUGAGCUCUACUUUUGUGGCUUAUGCAUUUCAAAUAUUUGUCUUACACCUCCACAGUUAAAGUUUUUGUUUCUUAAUGAGUAAAGCUAAAUCAGAAUGAUGCUGGUAGAACAGACAGUUGUGCAAUGUGAGAGAAUAGCAAUCUCCUGAAGCUUUUAGGAGAAAAGGCCUUCAUUCUUCCCAUGCAUAGAUGGCAAGGAGGGUUGGAAAAUACCAGCUCUACUCUGCACUGUGGUGCAACAGGGCAUUAUAAUGACAAGGAGGCAGGAAAAGAGAAAUGCUAAAUUAAAAUUUGAAUGAGAAGCAAUAAACAAUCUUGGCACUAAAAUCUAAUCCAUUAUGAAUAGUGAAUGUUAAAUUGCUUUUUGGAAUCCAGUGGGUUCUCAUGAGCCCACAAAGGGGAAGUGAAAGGGAUUAUCCCUCAUCACCUAGAUCAGAACUGCCUUCAUCACUGUACAUAUUGUGCUAUUAAUAAGCUUUCCUUGAAGGAAUUCUGCAGCUUAACAAUAAAAGGCACCAGAGCAAAUGAUAAGCUUAAUAAAGCAACCUGGGUUGAAUACAGAGUGUAACCCUCACCCUCCACCACAGGGCUGCUAUGUAAUGAAGACAUGGAAGGGAUACUGGUGAGUCAAACACAAUGUUUAAAACUGCUUCUUAGUAGCUAAAUUUAUUGAGCCCUUACUGUUUAUUUACCAGGUACUGGCUAGUUGUUUUACAUACAUCUCAAAGCCCUCUGAGCAUUUGACUGGGCACCAACAUGGUGGCAUUGGAUAAAAGAAAAUGCCCCAGCAGUAAGUACACUGGUGGGAACCCCUAUCCCACCCCUACCCCCAGCCCACCCCACCUGCAACCUGCUGGCAACUGAAACUUCCAAGAAAGUGCUCCCUCUAUCUGUGAGUUGGAAAAACAUCACUACAAGCCCUGUACCAUGAGGCUUCCAGAGAUUUGUGCUUACCAGAAAUCAACCAAGAUUCUCAUUUGGAAGCUGCCUUUCAGAGGCUGGUGAGAGAGAUUACCCAGGAUUUCAAAACUGACUUGAGGUUUCAGAGUGCAGCCAUUGGGGUCUUCAGGAGCCUAGUGAAUAAAGCCUUGUGGCUUUAUUUGGAGAUACUAAUCUGUGUGCCAUCCACACCACGAGAGUCACCUUCAUGCCCAAAGACAUCCAGUUGGCUCACUGGAUACGGGGAGAGAAAGCUUAAGUAAAGACAAUUUUUAUGGAAUUUUGUAUGUAGUAAAUUCUGUAAAAUACUUUGGUUUAAUUGGUGACUUUUUGUAAGAAAUUGUUUAUAAUAUGUUAUAUUUGUACUGAAGUCAUUCUGUCUUUCUCUUGGAUGAAUGGGGAGAGUGACUGUUCCAGACCUCGGUGAUGUGAGCACUGUUGCUCAGGAGUGACAAGGUGCUAAUCUGCAGAAGGAUGGUUGACAGUUCUUGCUUCUCAUGAUGCAUGUUUCUGUAUGUUAAUGACUUGUUGGGUAGCUAUUAAGGUAGUAGAACUGAUAAAUGUGUGUACAGGGUUCUUCUGCAAUAAAACACGUUAUGAUUUGAUCCAAGUGUUUAACAACUGGGGCUGGUAAGUCUCACCAUACAUUACUGUGAGGGAAUGUGGACUGCUUCAAGGGUGAACAUACAAGUCUUAACCAUGGUGUAACUUUCCUAGGAAAAGGUAAUCUUGGCAGCUGUAAGAAUAUACCAUAUGCAUUUAUAGUAACUAUUCUAUAUAUGGUCAUGUCAACAUUUUUAAAUGUUUUACAUUCGCUAAUGAAAACAAAAAGAAACACACACACACCAAUUGAAUGUUAUGCAACAACAGAUCCUUCCAAAACUAUGGGAUACCAUGGGAAUAAUGCUGACUGUUUAGUGAAAGCAAGCAGUAUACCAAAUCACAUAUAGUGGUUGAAAAUUUGUUUAAGCCAGAGUGAGUUUGAAAAAGAAGCCAUAUGUGUAUUUGCUUUUUAAACCCAUGUCUUUUUAUUAGCCUGAUUUUUUAAAUUGAUUUUUAUUUUAUGAUUUUGUUGUUUUCUGCAGUCCUAGUACUGCCUGAUUUACAAUCCACAUACAAAUCAUUAACAUUUAAAUGAUAGGUAAUGUUAAUAAUAGGUGAAGUAUUAAAAUUUUUACCCUUUAAAGUAUUGCUGGAGAGAUGAUUUUAUUCCAUUGCAUGACCUCUUGAGAGAGUGAAGUGGGAGGAGAAGAUGAGAGAAGGAUAACUGAGAGGAAGUGAAAGCAACAUAAGAUGGCCGGAUGAGGAUGACUCUGGGGUCAACACACUGCUUCUUUUUUUUAACCUUGUUUUUACAAGUCUAUUCAACACAAAAUAUUGAGCAACUAUGUACAGUAUGUCAAAGACACAAUAAUGAGAAGUUAAAAAUAGCUUCCGAUCUUUAUGUAGCUUAAUAUAGUGUACUUUGGAGAAACAGUGUGUUGGAGAGAGUGGGUCAGCUUCCACUUGAGUGAGGCAGGCUGGCUCCUCCUAUACUUGUCAGUUUUAAAGAAUUCACCAAAAUGAAAGAAUACCACUUUUACUAUCAACCUUAAUUUUCCCGUACCUAAUUCUUUUUAUGUAAGAUUCAGUAAUCGACGACUUUUCAGUACUGGGGAUUGGCCUCAGAGGUCCAUGCAUGUUAGGCAAGCAAGCACUCUACCACUGAACUAUAUCCUCGGCUGUUUUAAAGUUUUAUUUUGAGAUGAUCUCACUAAGUUGCCCAAGUUGGACUCAAACUUGUGAUCCUCCUGCCUCAGCCUCCCAAGUAGCCAGGCUUACAGGCAUACACCACCAUGCCCAGUAAGAUUCCGUAAACUGACAAAUGCAUUCAUUCAUGAAACCCACUGUUGGAGACUAUUUCAUAGGUCCCUGUUUCUGACUGUGUUACAAACAAAGUUAAAAAUCUCUUCAAAGAUGUUUAAUAAGGCACAGUCUAGAAAGACAGGAUUUCUUAGAGCAAAAGGUAUACUGUUCAGUAUAAUCAAGAUAAUUUCUCCCUGUAGGGCAAAGAGCAUGCAGACCUACUGCCCUUUAUAAAAGAUUUAGAUUCUUGUGCCAGGAAUGGUGACACAUGCAUGUAAUCCCAGUGCUCUGGGAGACAGGCAGGGAGAGUGAGAGCUCCAUGGCAACUCAGUGAAACUCUGGCUCAAAUUUAAUAACUAAUAAAAUUUUGUUAUAGUUUAAAACAUGAAUUAGCCUUGGCACUUUAAUUUUAAAUGUUAUGUCCAUGGUUGUAUUUAAAAAUCAGACACUUGGUCGGGGGGAUAAUACCAGCAUAUUGCUGAUAGACAGUAGGCAUCAUUUAUGGUCAGAAGUCUUUGAACCUCUGUUUUUCAUUUUUGAUUAAUCAAAGCAUUCUUGGCAAAGGAAAAAAUUGGACACAUACUAUUUCAUGGGAUGAAGUGUUACCUGAUUCUAGAAUGUAAAAUAAAGGCAAUUAAGAUCAUUUUUUAAAAAAAGAAUUAGGGUGAUUUGAAACUCUCGUGUGAAAUCAGAGAUUCAUGUAAUCACUAGUAUCAGAAAGAUAUUUUAGGACAAAACUAAAAGAGC
RNAcentral lists this long non-coding RNA (4048 nucleotides) under Heterocephalus glaber (naked mole-rat). RNAcentral describes it as "lncRNA (ENSHGLG00000042697.1)". Lineage: Eukaryota; Metazoa; Chordata; Mammalia; Rodentia; Bathyergidae. The record is from RNAcentral.